Molecule: ribosomal RNA, 373 nt
Filed under: uncultured organism
Description: partial 16S ribosomal RNA
Rfam family: Bacterial small subunit ribosomal RNA
Source: RNAcentral
GAAGGGCUCGAGCGUUAAUCAGAAUCACUGGGCUUAAAGCGUACGCAGGCGGACGCGCAGGCAUCUUGUGAAAUCCCUCGGCUCAACCGAGGAACUGCGGGGUGAACCGCGUGUCUUGAGGCAAGUAGGGGCUGUCGGAACGCUAGGUGGAGUGGUGAAAUGCGUUGAUAUCUAGCGGAACGCCAAAGGAGAAAUCAGGCAGCUGGGCUUGUUCUGACGCUGAGGUACGAAAGCGUGGGGGGAGCGAACGGGAUUAGAUACCCCGGUAGUCCACGCCGUAAACGAUGUGCACUAGAUCGAGGGGGUUCUGACACCAUUCUCGGUCGAAGCGAAAGUGUUAAGUGCACCGCCUGGGAGUACGGUCGCAAGGCUA